RNAcentral lists this ribosomal RNA (449 nucleotides) under uncultured bacterium. RNAcentral describes it as "bacterial SSU rRNA". It matches the Rfam family "Bacterial small subunit ribosomal RNA", at positions 355 to 825 of the family's 1533-position model. The record is from RNAcentral.
UGGGGAAUAUUGCGCAAUGGGCGAAAGCCUGACGCAGCCAUGCCGCGUGAGUGACGAAGGUCUUCGGAUUGUAAAAACUCUUUUUGGCGGGGACGAUAAUGACGGUACCCGCAGAAUAAGCCCCGGCUAACUUCGUGCCAGCAGCCGCGGUAAUACGAAGGGGGCUAGCGUUGUUCGGAAUCACUGGGCGUAAAGCGCACGUAGGCGGAUGUGCCAGUCAGGGGUGAAAUCCCGGAGCUCAACUCCGGAACUGCCUCUGAUACUGCACGUCUUGAGUUCGAGAGAGGUGGGUGGAAUUCCUAGUGUAGAGGUGAAAUUCGUAGAUAUUAGGAAGAACACCGGUGGCGAAGGCGGCCCACUGGCUCGAUACUGACGCUGAGGUGCGAAAGCGUGGGGAGCAAACAGGAUUAGAUACCCAGGUAGUCCCUGAGCGGGCUGGCAAGGCGCAU